Long non-coding RNA from Numida meleagris (helmeted guineafowl), 2214 nucleotides. Lineage: Eukaryota; Metazoa; Chordata; Aves; Galliformes; Numididae. The record is from Ensembl.
AUCGGGAAGAAGAUGGGGAGAGGAGAGAGAGGAGGGCACGAAGGGGACAUUAAGGUUAAAAGGGUGAUCGAUCGGCGCAGACGGCAACUGCAGGGAGCCAGGGGCUCUGCUGGAGAAACAGACGGGGAAAAGUGGGGGCACGGGGGGCACUAGUGGGGCAUGGGCAGCCAGGUGGGGAUGUCACCGCACUGCCCCUGUGCCAGGCGGCUGGAGAGCCCCUGAUCUGCUGCACGGUGCUGGGGGCAGCAGUGGGGCACAGGUGUGCUAACCACCCCCCUCCCAUCUGUCUGCAAUUGCCAGCAACUAACCUUACCAGAUAAAUGUGCUGCUGGGGGCACCUCCCCUCCCACUAGUUUGGAGGAAGCAAACCAUGUGUAGCCCCUGGGGAGGGGUCUUCAGAAGCAGCAUGUGCAAGAGCUCUGUUCCCAGGCUCGUUGCUUCGAUCUUAGCAAGAACCUGGAAAGCAGAUGCAUGCAGGGGACCCAACAGGUACUUGGUGUUGAUGGAUGGGUUUUGUGACUGGAAAGUUGGUGCGAUGACUCCUCAAAUGGCCAAUGAAAAUCUUGUAGCGAGUGCUGAAGAAGUUAUUAAUGAUUUCCCCUUGCUGUAGCAGAGCAGGCGCUGCCUGGCUGGGCUGUAGGUGGAUCCGUGCGAGGUGCUCUGAGCAGGAUGGGUCUUUGCACUGCAUUUCUUCCUGGGCUCUCCUUUGCUUUAGCUCAUGACCUCGGUGCUGCACAUGGUCCAUGGCAUCCUGUUAGAUUUCGGUAACUGAGGGAAGUCUGCAUCAUACUGAUGCUGCCUUCACUGAAAACAUCGAUGCCUGCAAUUCAGCUUUAUCCGCAUUAACUUUAAUUUCUUGGGCCUGGAGGAGACUUCCCUCUUGCAGCCCAGUUCCAACCAGGGAAGAUCUGCCUCCUGCUGCCAUCCUCAGCAAGCUGCUGUUCCUUGCUAUGAAGGCAAACUGGGAAGUGCUCUCCUGGUGAAGGUGGGAGCUCACAACGAGAUUCUGGAGGUGAACUUGGUGGCGUUAGAGGAGCGGUGGCUGCGCCAUGCCCAGGAUGCUGCGUGUGCCACCGGGUGCCCAACGCCUGGUGCUGGGUGACCCAGCCCUUGCACCGCCCUGGGGCAGCGUCCUGCAGAGAGAAGCGUGCAGGAGGUGCUCUUCCUUUUGAAGAGGGAAUGGUGAUGUGCUAGCAAGGAUCUCAGAGCCUCUGUGAGCUGAUAAAUCCAAAAGAUGCCGGAUUGCAUCAGAACCAUCUUCACUGUGAACAACCGAGACAAGACCUGAAUCAGGUAACAGAAGUUGCUGUGUGCCAGUGCUGCGUGUGGCAGAGGUGUCUUCAUGUCAUGCUGGGCACGUCGCCCACUUACACCCUGCCUUCCCUGUCCGCAGUGGCCUCCUUCAUGUUUCAGUACAAAGUGAUGCUCCCAUGUAUGCACUGAUGAGGAUGGCUGCUUCCCACUGCCCCUCAGGCUCAAUCUGCUGCUCUUCCCAAUUUACUCCAGUGGUCUCUAGAAUCCUGCUGCUGCCCACCCCCGUGGCCUUGUUCUGUUACCCAGACUCCUUCCCUCUGAUGACUUCCUUGCUCCGAAGCUGUUUGGUGUUGGCCCACGCAGUCCUGGGGAUUAUUUGACCAUUGCUACCCCAGCAUUUGCUCCUUGCAAAACCCAUCAGUGCCCCGUCCUCCCCAGCAGCGCCUCCGCUCCGCACCACGGGAAGGCUGCAGGUAUCCCCGCAGUGAGCAGCGUGCUGCUGCCAGGGAUCCCCUGACACGUUGGCGUUCAUCAGCCUGUCAGCAUUCAGCUUUUUCUCUUCCAUCCUCCCGGGGGGGGGGGAUGGCCUCUGCUCCUCGCACGGCAGCCAUCCUGCAGCAGAGUUGCAGACAAGCCCGGCAGCAGCGCCAGCUCUGGGAGCUGUGCUCGGGGUGAGCCCACGCGCGGGGCUGUGACUGCGCUGGCAUCGGCCGUGGUGCAGCCGGGAAGCCAACGAGAACCUCUUUAUAUAAACUCCAUUUUCUGGUUGUUGGUUUUUUUUUUUUUCAUAAAAGCCCUUCUAAUUUGUACCAAAGAGGCUCGAGCAUGCCCCUGGGACUGGUAAAAAUAAUAAUAGCUUAAGUGGUAGAAGACUGUGAAUUUGAAACAGAAGGUUAUGAGACUUAAAAGUAUUACAAAAACGUCAACAUUGUAUAUCAAUAAAUGUAAUUUAGAUAUACA